CAGCCGCCGCGGGAAUACGUAGGGGGCAAGCGUUGUCCGGAAUUAUUGGGCGUAAAGCGCGCGCAGGCGGUCAUUUAAGUCUGGUGUUUAAUCCCGGGGCUCAACCCCGGAUCGCACUGGAAACUGGGUGACUUGAGUGCAGAAGAGGAGAGUGGAAUUCCACGUGUAGCGGUGAAAUGCGUAGAUAUGUGGAGGAACACCAGUGGCGAAGGCGACUCUCUGGGCUGUAACUGACGCUGAGGCGCGAAAGCGUGGGGAGCAAACAGGAUUAGAGACCCGAGUAGUCCCUGUCUCUUAUACA
RNAcentral lists this ribosomal RNA (301 nucleotides) under uncultured bacterium. RNAcentral's name for it is "partial 16S ribosomal RNA". It matches the Rfam family "Bacterial small subunit ribosomal RNA", at positions 509 to 808 of the family's 1533-position model. The record is from RNAcentral.